This 332-nucleotide ribosomal RNA is filed under the name uncultured bacterium. RNAcentral's name for it is "bacterial SSU rRNA". It matches the Rfam family "Bacterial small subunit ribosomal RNA", at positions 568 to 898 of the family's 1533-position model. The record is from RNAcentral.
CGUGCAGGUGGUCGAGCAAGUCAGAUGUGAAAGCCUUCUGCUUAACAGAAGAAGUGCAUUUGAAACUGCUCGGCUAGAGUACGGGAGAGGAGAGUGGAAUUCCCGGUGUAGAGGUGAAAUUCGUAGAUAUCGGGAGGAACACCAGUGGCGAAGGCGGCUCUCUGGUCCGAUACUGACACUGAGACGCGAAAGCGUGGGGAGCAAACAGGAUUAGAUACCCUGGUAGUCCACGCCGUAAACGAUGGGCACUAGGUGUAGGAGGUAUUGACCCCUUCUGUGCCGAAGCUAACGCAUUAAGUGCCCCGCCUGGGGAGUACGGCCGCAAGGCUAAA